RNAcentral lists this ribosomal RNA (257 nucleotides) under uncultured bacterium. Its description in RNAcentral is "partial 16S ribosomal RNA". It matches the Rfam family "Bacterial small subunit ribosomal RNA", at positions 524 to 778 of the family's 1533-position model. The record is from RNAcentral.
UACAGAGGUCUCAAGCGUUGUUCGGAUUCAUUGGGCGUAAAGGGUGCGUAGGUGGCGCUGUAAGUCAGAUGUGAAAUUUCGGAGCUUAACUCCGAAACUGCAUUUGAUACUGCGGUGCUUGAGGACUGGAGAGGAGAUUGGAAUUCACGGUGUAGCAGUGAAAUGCGUAGAUAUCGUGAGGAAGACCAGUGGCGAAGGCGGAUCUCUGGACAGUUCCUGACACUGAGGCACGAAGGCCCAGGGGGAGCAAAACGGGG